This is a long non-coding RNA of Suricata suricatta (meerkat), 690 nucleotides long. RefSeq lists it as uncharacterized. The transcript has 2 exons. Lineage: Eukaryota; Metazoa; Chordata; Mammalia; Carnivora; Herpestidae. The record is from RefSeq and is a predicted model, not a curated record.
UCUGAGCUCCCUACCUCCUGAGAUACUCAGAAUCCAUGCACGUAAAGUCCAGUCACCAAAUGGGUUAGGGCACAAAAUUACUCAAAGACGAAAAUAUCAGAGCCAAAACUGCAGACUUACCAGGAGCAAGAUCCUACUUUUUCCUACUAGGCACAGUGGACCGUCAAUAACUCAGUGAAAACCCAGGGAUUGGUAGAAAGCUCCCACUCUGCUCCCGGGCUAACUGAAAUCAUUCAGUUUCUGAUAUACAAAAGGAUCCAUUGACCUCCUGUCACUGACGACUUGGUGCUUGAAAGCCUGGAGUUGACAUGGUAAUAGAUAGCAGAACUCCAAUCAAGAGCUGCUACAGAUGCCUUCAUUCUAAAAAGCACACAGUUCACCCGUCUGCAUUAUUCUUCAUGACCUGCGGAAUGUGCAAAAAUAGUUGAAGGACCAGUGCACCUGAAGCCAGCCACAAGCCAGAACCUGCUAACAAUGCAUUAUGACUACCUCAAAGGACAGGCAAAAAGAAGCCAAUGGGAGAAAUGUUCCCUCUCCUCCUGAAGGACAAUGCAGGAGGCUUCCCGUUGUCCUAGCCCACAUAUUGUUCUUACUCCUGAGACAAGCAUCUUGCCAGGAGUUGUGCUAGUCCCUUCAUGUUUUGCUAUCUUCCCUUCUCUUCUGUUAAUAAAGAACAUUGCCUUCUGUGUA